GAGAAUGUAAUUUAAGUAAUGUAAAAGAAAAUAUGAAAAUUUAAAGCCGUUCGUAGUGUGGCCACCUUUGAGUCCUCCCAUACGUCGAACCACCUACUGAGGAUUACCUAAAAAGUUUAAAAGAGGGGUGAGUUUACGAAAACUCAGUGUGUACAACCCUCAUCGAUCAUAAAACACGCGUCAUAUCAAUUUGGGCCUCAGCCCAUUACAAUAACAGUGGCACUUGGCCUUAGUCCACAGUAGCCUCAGUUGGCCUAAGCCCAUGUCACAAUCAAAAUCAGAUUAUGCACUGCACAAAUACCCAAC
RNAcentral lists this long non-coding RNA (306 nucleotides) under Gossypium barbadense (sea-island cotton). Its description in RNAcentral is "long non-coding RNA (GBAR_LNC005422)". The record is from RNAcentral. Lineage: Eukaryota; Viridiplantae; Streptophyta; Magnoliopsida; Malvales; Malvaceae.